Molecule: ribosomal RNA, 314 nt
Filed under: uncultured fungus
Lineage: Eukaryota; Fungi
Description: SSU rRNA
Rfam family: Eukaryotic small subunit ribosomal RNA
Source: RNAcentral
UACUCUGCUAAAUAGCCAGGCUAACUUUGGUUGGUCGCCGGCUUCUUAGAGAGACUAUCAACUCAAGUUGAUGGAAGUUUGAGGCAAUAACAGGUCUGUGAUGCCCUUAGAUGUUCUGGGCCGCACGCGCGCUACACUGACAGAGCCAACGAGUUCUUUUCCUUGUUCGAAAGAAUUGGGUAAUCUUGUUAAACUCUGUCGUGCUGGGGAUAAAGCAUUGCAAUUAUUGCUUUUCAACGAGGAAUGCCUAGUAAGCGCGUGUCAUCAGCAUGCGUUGAUUACGUCCCUGACCUUUGUACACACCGCCCGUCGCU